This 56-nucleotide small nuclear RNA is filed under the name Dasypus novemcinctus (nine-banded armadillo). Its description in RNAcentral is "U5 spliceosomal RNA (ENSDNOG00000029593.1)". It matches the Rfam family "U5 spliceosomal RNA", at positions 11 to 66 of the family's 117-position model. From Rfam's summary of the family: U5 RNA is a component of both types of known spliceosome. The precise function of this molecule is unknown, though it is known that the 5' loop is required for splice site selection and p220 binding, and that both the 3' stem-loop and the Sm site are important for Sm protein binding and cap methylation. The record is from RNAcentral. Lineage: Eukaryota; Metazoa; Chordata; Mammalia; Cingulata; Dasypodidae.
UUCUCUUCAGAUCAUAUAAAUCUUUUGCCUUUUACUGAAGAGUUCCGUGGAAAGAA